RNAcentral lists this ribosomal RNA (520 nucleotides) under uncultured Glomus. RNAcentral's name for it is "SSU rRNA". It matches the Rfam family "Eukaryotic small subunit ribosomal RNA", at positions 569 to 1090 of the family's 1831-position model. Lineage: Eukaryota; Fungi; Glomeromycota; Glomeromycetes; Glomerales; Glomeraceae. The record is from RNAcentral.
AGCAGCCGCGGUAAUUCCAGCUCCAAUAGCGUAUAUUAAAGUUGUUGCAGUUAAAAAGCUCGUAGUUGAAUUUCGGGAUCAAAUUGUCGGUCGUGCCUCGGUACGUACUGGCGUUAUUGGUUCCUCCCUUCUGAAGAACCGCGAUGUCAUUAAUUUGGUGUCGCGGGGAAUCAGGACUGUUACUUUGAAAAAAUUAGAGUGUUUAAAGCAGGCUCGCGCUUGAAUACAUUAGCAUGGAAUAAUGGAAUAGGACGUUUGAUUCUAUUUUGUUGGUUUCUAGGAUCGACGUAAUGAUUAAUAGGGAUAGUUGGGGGCAUUAGUAUUCAAUUGUCAGAGGUGAAAUUCUUGGAUUUAUUGAAGACUAACUACUGCGAAAGCAUUUGCCAAGGAUGUUUUCAUUAAUCAAGAACGAAAGUUAGGGGAUCGAAGACGAUCAGAUACCGUCGUAGUCUUAACCAUAAACUAUGCCGACUAGGGAUCGGAUGAUGUUAAUUUUUUUAAUGACUCAUUCGGCGCCUUA